RNAcentral lists this ribosomal RNA (429 nucleotides) under Acidobacteriota bacterium. RNAcentral describes it as "Acidobacteria bacterium partial 16S ribosomal RNA". It matches the Rfam family "Bacterial small subunit ribosomal RNA", at positions 355 to 776 of the family's 1533-position model. The record is from RNAcentral. Lineage: Bacteria; Pseudomonadati; Acidobacteriota.
UGGGGAAUUUUGGACAAUGGGGGAAACCCUGAUCCAGCCAUCCCGCGUGUGCGAUGAAGGCCUUCGGGUUGUAAAGCACUUUUGGCAGGAAAGAAACGUCAUGGGUUAAUACCCCGUGAAACUGACGGUACCUGCAGAAUAAGCACCGGCUAACUACGUGCCAGCAGCCGCGGUAAUACGUAGGGUGCAAGCGUUAAUCGGAAUUACUGGGCGUAAAGCGUGCGCAGGCGGUUCGGAAAGAAAGAUGUGAAAUCCCAGAGCUCAACUUUGGAACUGCAUUUUUAACUACCGGGCUAGAGUGUGUCAGAGGGAGGUGGAAUUCCGCGUGUAGCAGUGAGAUGCGUAGAUAUGCGGAGGAACACCGAUGGCGAAGGCAGCCUCCUGGGAUAACACUGACGCUCAUGCACGAAAGCAUGGGGAGCAAACAGG